Molecule: long non-coding RNA, 449 nt
Organism: Sander lucioperca (pikeperch)
Lineage: Eukaryota; Metazoa; Chordata; Actinopteri; Perciformes; Percidae
Exons: 3
Source: RefSeq, a predicted model, not a curated record
UGUUUGUGUUUGUUUGUUAAACGUGACUUUUUCAUUGUAGCCUAGGCUGUACAAACCAUCACGAAAAAGAAUUAUAGGAAUCGUAUAGUAGGCCAAUUUUGGAACAAUACUAUAGUAAUCUUAUAGAAAUAGGCUACUAUAGGCCUAGUAUUUUGGGACAUACUAUAAAAGUAUUACAGUAUUUUGGAGACUAUUUUAUGACUGUAGGCUACUGUAGGAACAUUAUGGAGGGUAAGGUUAUUAUAGAGAUCAUAAGUAACCUGGGCUAUGACUAAUGACUAUGUCCUAGGACCAGGUAAAGUGAUUGAUAAGCAUGUGAACUAAACAAUACGCUAUACUGAUGCCCAUUUUUUUAGCGUGCGUGCCGCCGUGUUCAUGAACCAGAACUUCGACAAUAAAUCAGUAAGUUGCUACUCAAAAAAGUUUUUCAAGGUUGGCAGGGCUGGACG